AAGUUAUUUCAUUGAGGUGCAAUCCUGCAGGGGAGAAGCUUAAGAUGAAAUAUAAGAACAUUGUUCAAACAGAUUGUGAUGGUGUUAUCUGCCUGGUGGAGCCCCUUCACACCACAACAGAGCUUGUAACUGUAAGUAGACAAUACUCCAGAGAUUUAGCCAAAUGGUAGUUUAAGUCCACUGAAACAUAUCAGUCAUUUAGGAUGAAGAGGAUGAAACUGUGUCUGCUGCCUUUACAGAGGGGGAUCCAGAAAGGCAUCUAGAGAGCAUGGCUGGACAACAGCAGGAUGCUUCCUCAACUUCCACUGCACAGACUGACACAGUGAGAUGGAUGUUCAGUAAACACCAGAGGUUCAGUCCAUGGAAUUCAUGUGCAACUGUAUAAUUUAAUGUCCUUUAUGUAUUCCCAGUUACCAGUAAAACAAAUAUACAAAAUCCACUUGCUGAGAAAAAUACAAAAAACAGAUAAAGAAAUACAGUACUUGGACCACCAGAUUAGGAGGGCAGAUCUGGAAAUUGAAAUACUGGAGCACAAGUUAGAGGUGGAUGCAGGUCACAGGUGAAUUAUGUUAACUACUGGAACAUGAACUAAACUAGCUCUUUUAUUUGUAGGAAAUAAAGAAGACCAAAU
Long non-coding RNA from Amphiprion ocellaris (clown anemonefish), 631 nucleotides. Lineage: Eukaryota; Metazoa; Chordata; Actinopteri; Pomacentridae. The record is from Ensembl.